RNAcentral lists this ribosomal RNA (439 nucleotides) under Phaeocystis sp. JD-2012. RNAcentral describes it as "SSU rRNA". It matches the Rfam family "Eukaryotic small subunit ribosomal RNA", at positions 444 to 886 of the family's 1831-position model. Lineage: Eukaryota; Haptophyta; Phaeocystales; Phaeocystaceae. The record is from RNAcentral.
CCCGAAUCCUGACACAGGGAGGUAGUGACAAGAAAUAACAAUACAGGGCUACUUCUAGUCUUGUAAUUGGAAUGAGUACAACUUACAUCUCUUCACGAGGAUCAAUUGGAGGGCAAGUCUGGUGCCAGCAGCCGCGGUAAUUCCAGCUCCAAUAGCGUAUAUUAAAGUUGUUGCAGUUAAAAAGCUCGUAGUCGGAUUUCGGGGCGGGCCGAGCGGUCUGCCGAUGGGUAUGCACUGUUCGGCGCGUCCUUCUUUCCGGAGACUAGUUCUACUCUUAACUGAGCGGGACUGGGAGACGGAUCGUUUACUUUGAAAAAAUCAGAGUGUUUCAAGCAGGCAGCUCGCUCUUGCAUGGAUUAGCAUGGGAUAAUGAAAUAGGACUCUGGUGCUAUUUUGUUGGUUUCGAACACCGGAGUAAUGAUUAACAGGGACAGUCAGG